Molecule: ribosomal RNA, 333 nt
Filed under: uncultured bacterium
Lineage: Bacteria
Description: bacterial SSU rRNA
Rfam family: Bacterial small subunit ribosomal RNA
Source: RNAcentral
CGUGUAGGCGGUUUGGUAAGUCUGAUGUGAAAGCCCUGGGCUCAACCCGGGAAGUGCAUUGGAAACUGUCAGACUUGAAUACGGGAGAGGGUAGUGGAAUUCCUGGUGUAGGAGUGAAAUCCGUAGAUAUCAGGAGGAACACCGGUGGCGAAGGCGGCUGCCUGGACCGAUAUUGACGCUGAGACGCGAAAGCGUGGGUAGCAAACAGGAUUAGAUACCCUGGUAGUCCACGCCGUAAACGAUGAGUACUAGGUGUUGCGGGUAUUGACCCCUGCAGUGCCGCAGCUAACGCAUUAAGUACUCCGCCUGGGAAGUACGGUCGCAAGAACUAAA